AUUGAACGCUGGCGGCAUGCCUUACACAUGCAAGUCGAACGGUAACAGGUCUUCGGAUGCUGACGAGUGGCGAACGGGUGGGUAAUACAUCGGAACGUGCCCGAUCGUGGGGGAUAACGAGGCGAAAGCUUUGCUAAUACCGCAUACGAUCUACGGAUGAAAGCGGGGGAUCUUCGGACCUCGCGCGGACGGAGCGGCCGAUGGCAGAUUAGGUAGUUGGUGGGAUAAAAGCUUACCAAGCCGACGAUCUGUAGCUGGUCUGAGAGGAUGAUCAGCCACACUGGGACUGAGACACGGCCCAGACUCCUACGGGAGGCAGCAGUGGGGAAUUUUGGACAAUGGGCGAAAGCCUGAUCCAGCCAUGCCGCGUGCAGGAUGAAGGCCUUCGGGUUGUAAACUGCUUUUGUACGGAACGAAAAGCCUCUUUCUAAUAAAGAGGGGUCAUGACGGUACCGUAAGAAUAAGCACCGGCUAACUACGUG
This 482-nucleotide ribosomal RNA is filed under the name uncultured bacterium. RNAcentral's name for it is "partial 16S ribosomal RNA". It matches the Rfam family "Bacterial small subunit ribosomal RNA", at positions 30 to 507 of the family's 1533-position model. The record is from RNAcentral.